This is a non-coding RNA of Vicugna pacos (alpaca), 190 nucleotides long. NCBI's taxonomy places the organism in Eukaryota, Metazoa, Chordata, Mammalia, Artiodactyla, Camelidae. The record is from RefSeq and is a predicted model, not a curated record.
ACCUCUGCGUCCAACUUCUGGGUGUAGCAAUGACCAAGACAGAAAAAAUUGCCCCUCUCCUGUGAGUUAUACCAUAGCAGGAAAUGCAGACAGUAGAUACAUAAAAUGUUCCAUAAUAUGCUUCUGGUAAUAAGAGUCUUGAAAACAAAGAAAGAAAAGCAAGAGAGAUAGAAAGAGAUUGGAAGAGCGU